UGGCGGCAGGCUUAACACAUGCAAGUCGAGCGGUAGCAGAUCUAGCUUGCUAGAUGCUGACGAGCGGCGGACGGGUGAGUAACGCGUAGGAACCUGCCCAGUAGUGGGGGAUAGCCCGGGGGAAACUCGGAUUAAUACCGCAUACGCUCUACGGAGGAAAGAGGGGGCUUCGGCUCUCGCUAUUGGAUGGGCCUGCGUGAGAUUAGCUAGUUGGUGAGGUAAUGGCUCGCCAAGGCGACGAUCUCUAGCUGGUCUGAGAGGAUGAUCAGCCACACUGGGACUGAGACACGGCCCAGACUCCUACGGGAGGCAGCAGUGGGGAAUAUUGCACAAUGGGCGCAAGCCUGAUGCAGCCAUGCCGCGUGUGUGAAGAAGGCUUUCGGGUUGUAAAGCACUUUCAGUGGGGAGGAAGGCCUCGUAGUUAAUAGCUGCGAGGAUUGACGUUACCCACAGAAGAAGCACCGGCUAACUCCGUG
This 476-nucleotide ribosomal RNA is filed under the name uncultured bacterium. RNAcentral describes it as "bacterial SSU rRNA". It matches the Rfam family "Bacterial small subunit ribosomal RNA", at positions 37 to 507 of the family's 1533-position model. The record is from RNAcentral.